ACUGAGCAGCGUCCUUUGUGCAGAAUGGUGCGUAUUGUUGACAGAAGGUAAAAAAGGUAAUUGCUUUGUAUUUGCUAUUAAAGAGAUUGAGAAAAAGGAGAGGUUACGACGCAGAAUUUGGGUGCACCUGGUCAACCAGCGAAGGAGACAAUAUGGUACAUAUUACCAUCUUGUGGCAGAAUUGCAACUGGAUCGUGACCGCCACCGAAAAUACUUCAAAAUGAGCGCAGAGCAGAUGGAUCACAUUCUUACACUGAUUGGGGUGAAUCUCUUAAGACAAACAACAAAUUACAGGAGACCCAUCGAACCCAAGAAACGUCUUGCUGUUACACUGAGGU
Non-coding RNA from Danio rerio (zebrafish), 338 nucleotides. NCBI's taxonomy places the organism in Eukaryota, Metazoa, Chordata, Actinopteri, Cypriniformes, Danionidae. The record is from Ensembl.